GACGAACGCUGGCGGCGUGCUUAACACAUGCAAGUCGAACGGAAAGGCCCUGCUUUUGUGGGGUGCUCGAGUGGCGAACGGGUGAGUAACACGUGAGUAACCUGCCCUUGACUUUGGGAUAGCUUCAGGAAACUGGGGCUAAUACCGGAUAGGAGCUCCUACUGCAUGGUGGGGGUUGGAAAGUUUCGGCGGUUGGGGAUGGACUCGCGGCUUAUCAGCUUGUUGGUGGGGUAGUGGCUUACCAAGGCUUUGACGGGUAGCCGGCCUGAGAGGGUGACCGGCCACAUUGGGACUGAGAUACGGCCCAGACUCCUACGGGAGGCAGCAGUGGGGAAUAUUGCACAAUGGGCGGAAGCCUGAUGCAGCAACGCCGCGUGCGGGAUGACGGCCUUCGGGUUGUAAACCGCUUUCGCCUGUGACGAAGCGUGAGUGACGGUAAUGGGUAAAGAAGCACCGGCUAACUACGUG
Molecule: ribosomal RNA, 468 nt
Filed under: uncultured bacterium
Lineage: Bacteria
Description: partial 16S ribosomal RNA
Rfam family: Bacterial small subunit ribosomal RNA
Source: RNAcentral